CAGCUUGUUGGUGAGGUAACGGCUCACCAAGGCGACGACGGGUAGCCGGCCUGAGAGGGUGACCGGCCACACUGGGACUGAGACACGGCCCAGACUCCUACGGGAGGCAGCAGUGGGGAAUAUUGCACAAUGGGCGAAAGCCUGAUGCAGCAACGCCGCGUGAGGGACGACGGCCUUCGGGUUGUAAACCUCUUUUAGCAGGGAAGAAGCGAAAGUGACGGUACCUGCAGAAAAAGCACCGGCUAACUACGUGCCAGCAGCCGCGGUAAUACGUAGGGUGCAAGCGUUGUCCGGAAUUAUUGGGCGUAAAGAGCUCGUAGGCGGUUUGUCGCGUCUGCUGUGAAAUCCCGAGGCUCAACCUCGGGUCUGCAGUGGGUACGGGCAGACUAGAGUGCGGUAGGGGAGAUUGGAAUUCCUGGUGUAGCGGUGGAAUGCGCAGAUAUCAGGAGGAACACCGAUGGCGAAGGCAGAUCUCUGGGCCGCUACUGACGCUGAGGAGCGAAAGGGUGGGGAGCAAACAGGCUUAGAUACCCUGGUAGUCCACCCCGU
Molecule: ribosomal RNA, 549 nt
Filed under: Mycetocola sp.
Lineage: Bacteria; Bacillati; Actinomycetota; Actinomycetes; Micrococcales; Microbacteriaceae
Description: bacterial SSU rRNA
Rfam family: Bacterial small subunit ribosomal RNA
Source: RNAcentral